Molecule: ribosomal RNA, 456 nt
Filed under: uncultured bacterium
Lineage: Bacteria
Description: bacterial SSU rRNA
Rfam family: Bacterial small subunit ribosomal RNA
Source: RNAcentral
UUGAUGGUGGCUCAGAUUGAACGCUGGCGGCAUGCCUUACACAUGCAAGUCGAACGGCAGCACGGAGCUUGCUCUGGUGGCGAGUGGCGAACGGGUGAGUAAUAUAUCGGAACGUACCCUGGAGUGGGGGAUAACGUAGCGAAAGUUACGCUAAUACCGCAUACGAUCUAAGGAUGAAAGUGGGGGAUCGCAAGACCUCAUGCUCGUGGAGCGGCCGAUAUCUGAUUAGCUAGUUGGUAGGGUAAAAGCCUACCAAGGCAUCGAUCAGUAGCUGGUCUGAGAGGACGACCAGCCACACUGGAACUGAGACACGGUCCAGACUCCUACGGGAGGCAGCAGUGGGGAAUUUUGGACAAUGGGCGAAAGCCUGAUCCAGCAAUGCCGCGUGAGUGAAGAAGGCCUUCGGGUUGUAAAGCUCUUUUGUCAGGGAAGAAACGGUGAAGGCUAAUAUCCUUU